RNAcentral lists this microRNA (22 nucleotides) under Ornithorhynchus anatinus (platypus). RNAcentral's name for it is "oan-miR-7419-3p". The record is from miRBase by way of RNAcentral. Lineage: Eukaryota; Metazoa; Chordata; Mammalia; Monotremata; Ornithorhynchidae.
UGUUUAGAAGAUCUUUGAACCG